RNAcentral lists this long non-coding RNA (3494 nucleotides) under Triticum aestivum (bread wheat). Its description in RNAcentral is "long non-coding RNA (TAES_LNC022355)". The record is from RNAcentral. Lineage: Eukaryota; Viridiplantae; Streptophyta; Magnoliopsida; Poales; Poaceae.
ACGGGAUAGGAGUCGCGCGCGUGGACGGAAGGAGAAGGAAGUGAGCGAAGAUGGUGGCUUGCACGAGGCGACGGACGACCGGAGACGAGUGAUCCUGCUCCAUCAACGGUUUGAGGUCAGUUUCUUCGACAUUUUUUCGCUCGCACAUUGCGUGGUUAGUGGGGUUUCUUCGCCGACGCCUCGUCGUCAUCAAGGGCCACAGGAGGACGCGAGGAAUGGCGGUGGAUGUAGACCACGAAGCAAAUCAUUUUCAUAGUGGUGUAUUUUCAGUUCGUAGGCUAUUCGGGGGUAGUUGGAUUUUCACCAGAGGAUCCCGGGCGGUUGGGGUGGUGGUGCUCAAGAGUUUUUCACGAGGGACUGCGGCAGCCUUUUCUCUGCAUCAGUUUCUGAAUAGAACCACAUAGAUUCCAGGACAUGGGCAACAACAAUUAGAGAGAGUCUUUUUAGGCAAUCAGAGAGAGAUAAGCAGGCAAAAACACUAGAUAAUGUUUUGCCAUGUUUUAUCUGUGUUCGUAAGCAAUACUGUGUGUUUUUGUAGGCAAAAUAAUGCAUAAAUGCUCACCAUUUUUUUAUCUGUGUUUCUUAGGCAAUCCAAUGUGUUUUUGUAGGCAACCAGAGAAAGAUAAGUAGGCAAAAAAUGCACAAAUAUUCGCCAUGUGUUCGUAGGCAACACCAAUGUGUUUUUUGAGAGAUAAGUAGGAAAAAAAAUGCAUAAGAUGUGUUCAUAGGCAAUCCCGUAGGCAAUAUCAUGUGUUUUUGUGUUUCAUCAGCUGACAACACAUUAAGGACAAUAAAACUGAGCCUAAAUCGAGCUCUCUCAGGCCCCCAAUGAUUUUGGCCAUUAGAUUUUGCGUUUGAACCAUAUCUUGUCAUCAGAUCUGUGUUUCUGCGCCGAUUUACCGCGAUUGGGCUGGCUGUCCUUAUAGGCCGCUACUCUGGGGACUUUUUUGAAGGCUUGUCAUUGAGUGGGCUUAUUGGUCCAUUUAUCUAUCUAACUCAGGAAGCCACCACUGCGCAGCAAUCGGUGAAUGUCUAAAAAAUGCAGCGAUCGGUGCUUCAUUAGCCCAUUUAUCAUCUGCAUCCAUCCGACACGCGGGUGAGGAGAGGACUGAGGAAUUGAGGAGCCAAGGCGAUGCUAGAUCUAGAGCUAGAGGGGAUGAUGUUGACGCGACGCACGCAAGGGAACUGGCGGUCGAGGGGAUCCAGCGGACUCGAGCCACAGGACGCGAGUGAGGUAACCGGCGGUCCAGGGGAUCCAGUCGACGCAAGGGAUCCAGCGCUCGAGGGCAUCAACCAUAGGCGCUGGAUGCAGGUGAAUCGAACGCCGGUCGAUCCAGCCGGUCCGGGCGAUCCGCCUACGAGGAAGAGACGAACCCGUAGUCAACUUCAUGGUGUACUUCAGCGCCAACAAUGCAUGCUUGCCUGACCACUUGCAGGCGCACCAGGACAAGCCCCUCGAGGAUACAGGCGUAUGAGGUCUUGCCUUGAUAUGAUUUCGGUGCCUUUAGUCAACUUUCUGGCCCCACGGUAGAUUUUACCCACUACAUGGUUCAAUGGUUGGUGUUCAGAUCUAGGUCUUUUGCAUGUUUAAUUAGAUAAAUUGGUUGAAGGUAAAAAAUGGCGGCUGAUGUGCCGAUCCUUUCCGCUGCCGAGGGGUAUAGGUACUUCUAUAUAUGCUUCCUCACCGGCCACUCUUUGUUAACCCUCUCCACUCUCUGCAACAAAACAUCUUUCAGCAUGAUGCUCGGGGAGGUUUUCUCCUUUCAGUUCAUGUAUAUGAUUCAUUGUUGUGCCAAGCAAUUGCAUUAUCCUCAUAUCCUCUCAUACCAAGAAUUCUACAUAGAGGUGGUGUUCAUGCUGGCUGUACUCAACUGAUUUUGGCACAUCUUGGAGCUUGGUGCUGGGAAUUUUUUGUUCGGCAAUUCAUAAUCUGAAAUGGCUUUUGGACAUGUAAAUACUCCACGCCUUAUACUUACACAUUUUACCAUCCAUGUUUUUUGCUGCAUGAUUAAUUCCAGUGUUAUUUAUUGUUGUUAUAGGGAACAAAUUAAUUAGAAAACUAUAUUAGAAUGUGUAAAAAACAUAGUCAUGUUGUCGUAUAGGGAGGCGAAGCCUCAACAUCUUCUGCUUCUAUCCAUAAGCAAGCAAAAGCCUAACAUCCUAUGGAUAAUUCCUUUCUUACUUCAAUUAAAUAAAAUAUUGUUGAUACACUUUGGAUGCUGCUCUAUGGGGUCAUGAUGCAACAAGCUUUGAUGCUCCUACUAUUUACAACACUAGCUUGUCAAAGGUCCUUAUAAUUUUGCUUGAGUAAACUUAACGAAAAGAUACCGCAGUAUGUCCUUCGUGUGAUCUAUCAUAUAACCAUUUCCUCAUGCAAUCAAUUAAUUUGACUUCUUUUUGUCGAGCAACAUACUACCUACAUAUUCUGCAACCCACAACACUAUCAAGUACGGACAAGCUGGUUGCAUAUUAGCACUGAUAUCUUGGAGAUGGAGAGUGAUGCAUCUCGAAGGCCUGAUGUUGUUCUGCAAAAAUAUCAGUCGACAUUUCAUAAAUACAUAGGUUGAAUGGCACUGCUAACAGGAGCACUGAAUAGCAGUCCUCAUUUCCUAUUAAUACUUAGCAGUGUAGAACUAUAGAUGAUGUUCAUCAUAAGGAUUAAGUGUUUCAAAUUACUACUUUGUUUUCUGGUUCUCAACUGCCAACCAAUACAUCAGUGGGUCCUCAUUAAUCUUACUCUGUUUUAAUAUAUCCCUGAAUCCUUAAUCAUCAAUGUGACUACCUUUCUCCUACACUAAGGUAUAAGUGCAAGUCUUAGCUACUGUCAGAUUGUUCCUUUCAGAAAUAGUGUGUGCUUCAGCUUUUUAAUUACAUUAAAUUAAUGUCCUUUAUCAUGUUGUUACUAGACUGUACCAGUCGGGAUUGAACUGCAGAACAUGUCAACAGCUCUGCUUGCCUAAGUUGUCAAUGGCGCCAUCGAGGUUUGCUAAUCUUUAUAUGGUACAGUAAAUUUCUUUUGCUUAGUUCUUUCGUGCACUUUCCUUUCAACUUGUUUUGUGCUGACUCACGUAAGUGUAGUUAUGAUUUGUGUGUUGUGCAAACAGUUGAUCAGGUUCACGAAUGUCAACCUUAUUGGGGUAAUUUAAUGGAUUAUAUCUCUUUCUGCUUGUAUUGUUAUUUUAAUUGGAGUAAGGAAGGAGCUUUCUCAAACUUUGGACUUCUCCACGGAUCAAAAAUUAUACUAAGAUGCCAUUGGGAAUCCCUAUAUUUUUUCUUAUCAAAGCUUGUAUUCAGUUGUCAUCAUUAUAUAAAGCUGCUCCGAUCUGCAUUCUUAGAACUUUCUCUAUUUUUCUCCUGUUGUUCUACAUAGAUAUAUAUAUGCUUAUACAAGUUUGGACUUGCUACCUUCUAUCUCGCAGCAUUUUAUUCGACUGAAGGCUUUGAAUGGUUGUGUGGUAAUUAAUUUCAAUCCCAUGUCUCAUGGAACUCCUUGG